UCAAUUAAUUUUUUAAAAAAUAUUAAAAAGCAGAAGACAUUUUUUCUUUUUUAAACAUACACACAUACACACACGCACACCACUAAAAUUAAUAGUUGCAGCUGAAAAAACAGCCCAUCUACAGUACGUCAAAAUAUUAUUUAUAUUACCAUGUGAAUAUUGGCCGUUUAUUAAAUUAAUUUAUAUUCCUAAAUAAGUUUCAUUUGCCUACCGCAAGUUUUAAUAGAUUAGGACAAACUACGAUUCCCAUCAUGCAUCGGAAACGAGAACAGUCCAAUCAAAAGAGGCAAUAUGUGACGUCACAAGUCUAUAUAAAUUGAACUCUGCCUUUCGCUCUCUCUCUUCCUCUCCCAAAAGUCCGUACGUGGCGUACAAAGAUUCGAGGACGAGACAUAUGUUGGGCUUAUGCGUCUGGCGACCAUAAAUCAAAGGACGAAGAGUCUUCAGUGGCAUUCAGGUUGUCAGGCCUUUGAUGUUGACACUUCUAAGGUCUUUUGGACUUCACCUGGAGUUGUUGGCAGUCGAGCCUCAAAAUGCGCUGAUGGAUGUUGGGGUCCAUCUGUACGACCUGUAAUUUGGAUUUGCUAAUAAACUACAUUUUCAUAUCA
Long non-coding RNA from Hippocampus zosterae (dwarf seahorse), 608 nucleotides. RefSeq lists it as uncharacterized. The record is from RefSeq and is a predicted model, not a curated record. NCBI's taxonomy places the organism in Eukaryota, Metazoa, Chordata, Actinopteri, Syngnathiformes, Syngnathidae. The transcript is spliced from 5 exons.